Molecule: non-coding RNA, 98 nt
Organism: Postia placenta MAD-698-R-SB12
Lineage: Eukaryota; Fungi; Basidiomycota; Agaricomycetes; Polyporales; Adustoporiaceae
Source: the annotation of a RefSeq genome assembly
GGCUUGGUGGUCUAGUGGUAUGAUUCCUUCUUAGGGUGUUCCAACAACUGGAGAUAUCGAAUUGGAGGAGGUCCCGGGUUCAAUUCCCGGCUAAGCCC